Epinephelus fuscoguttatus (brown-marbled grouper) is the source of this 984-nucleotide long non-coding RNA. RefSeq lists it as uncharacterized. NCBI's taxonomy places the organism in Eukaryota, Metazoa, Chordata, Actinopteri, Perciformes, Serranidae. The transcript has 4 exons. The record is from RefSeq and is a predicted model, not a curated record.
CUGUGGGGGAUGUACUCAACAAAUACCCAUACUUAAGGACGCCUGCUGGAUUUUUUGACGAGGUUGAUCGAAUCCAUCCUUCAACAAGUAGCUUCUGUCAUCGCUUCAAAGAGGGCUUUGCUCGAGUUUUGCCAAAUGUGCUGAAACUUGCCGAGGGAAAAUCUCCCCUCGCAAAACAGUACACUGAUGCAAGACGGGAUGCAUUAGCUGAGGAUCUACCAGAAAUCGACUUAAGGGCCGGGCUUAUCCUCUUGCCAUCCAUCUUCAGAGAAAAGACUGAACACUACAUCACAAUGGGAGAGGGGGACCCUGCUACACCCUAUCCAACCAUACAACUGAUGGACAAUGACUGGAAAAUGGCGAUCACAGGAAGAGGGCUUAGUGUGGUGAAAGUAGAUGGAGUAGAUGUGUGCCAGUGCACAGGCCUUGAUGAAGCCUUCAUAACAGCCUUCAGUAUGUAUUUUGCUUUCAACAUUACCUACCCACUGCACCUGAAAAACACACUGACCUUCCUUCAGAGGUGCAUUGUCAGUAUUGUGGAAGAGGGAGACAAGCCCCUGCCAGUAACUGUACUCCGACUGAUUAACCUUCUGUGUUAGAUCAUGCCUCAACUGCACCAGUGCCCAAAGUGCACUCGAAGGACAUUUACUCUAGGGAAGCUGCUCCAACAUGUUGGACUUGUUCAUGCACAUGAACCAAAUUUUAGUAUCACCUGUGGGGUAGGUGAUUGCCUGUCAACUUUUUCCCGCUUCCAUUCUUUUAGAAAACAUGUGUACAGGAAGCACAGAUGCUUUGUGUUUAGGCCUUCUGAUAAUAGAAAUGAUUGUCCCAUUGAGUCCACAGUACAGCAACAUAGCUUGAACCUGGAUCAGCAAAAUUCUGAGACUGAUCCAAGUGCUUCUGAUCCCCAAACAGUUGAGCCAAAUUUAGAUAAACUAUUAGAAGAUUUCAGAGAUAAUCUGUUUGGAUUCAUUCUUAAAUGCA